Molecule: long non-coding RNA, 304 nt
Filed under: Homo sapiens (human)
Lineage: Eukaryota; Metazoa; Chordata; Mammalia; Primates; Hominidae
Description: HSALNT0293282
Source: RNAcentral
GUCCGGCUUUAGAACUCUGCGGUUUUGUGGAGCUCGAGAGUCCGGGACAAGAUAUCUAUUGGAUGCUGAUGAUUAUGAAACAAAGUAGCAAAGAUAAGAAGCCAUUUGCUCAUUCUGCUCCUUUGCCAGCAAUAUUUCACAAAGCCCCUGACUCAUUGACUGUGAGCAGCCUUGUGGAAGAAUGCCUUGAAGACCAUAAGCAGGAUAGGGAAUAGGUUUGCACAUCUCUUGCCUGAAUCACUGAAUUUUUACAAAAGGUUCUUUUCAUUUCAAAGUGAAGAUUGCAUCACCACAUCUUUCUCAA